This 253-nucleotide ribosomal RNA is filed under the name uncultured bacterium. RNAcentral describes it as "partial 16S ribosomal RNA". It matches the Rfam family "Bacterial small subunit ribosomal RNA", at positions 524 to 776 of the family's 1533-position model. The record is from RNAcentral.
UACGUAGGCAGCAAGCGUUGUUCGGAGUUACUGGGCGUAAAGGGUGCGUAGGCGGCCCUGUAAGUAUGGUGUGAAAUCUCCCGGCUUAACUGGGAGGGUGCGCUAUAGACUGCGGGGCUCGAGUGUGGGAGAGGAAAGUGGAAUUCCUGGUGUAGCGGUGAAAUGCGUAGAUAUCAGGAGGAACACCGGUGGCGAAGGCGGGUCUCUGGGCCGAAAUUGACGCUGAGGCGCGAAAGCUAGGGGAGCAAACAGG